RNAcentral lists this ribosomal RNA (684 nucleotides) under Triticum aestivum (bread wheat). Its description in RNAcentral is "partial small subunit ribosomal RNA". Lineage: Eukaryota; Viridiplantae; Streptophyta; Magnoliopsida; Poales; Poaceae. The record is from RNAcentral.
GUUAAAAAGAUCCAACAAUUCCUCCCCAUUUGCCUUAUACGCUGUCCUUAUAAGCUGAUCACAAAGGUGUUGGAUAACCAUGUAGCUAUCUAUGCGGAUAAGCUGAUCAGCCGUCACCAAAAUGCCUUCAUUAAAAACAAAAACAUCAUGGAUGGAAUUCUGUCUUUGCAUGAGGUGCUACAUCAUGCCCACAAUAAGAGGAAAAUUGGAGUGGUCCUAAAGCUUGAUUUCAAAAAAGCUUAUGACAAAAUCAACUGGGAUUUCCUUUUGGAAUGUCAUAGGAUGAGGGGUUUUAAUGAUAAAUGGUGCGGAUGGAUUAAAAAUAUCCUGAAUAACGGCACAAUGAGCAUUAAGUUUAAUAAUGAGACUGGGCCUUACUUUGUGAGCCGCAAAGGGGUUCGCCAGGGCGAUGCACACUCACCUUUCUUGUUUAGCCUAGCAGUUGAGUGCCUCUCGAAGAUGAUUUUCAAUGCUCAAAAAGAAAAAUUGAUUACUGGCUUAGCCCCUGACCUUAUUGAGGGGGGUGUUGACGUGUUACAAUACGUAGAUGAUACGGUGUUAUGCUUUGAACAUGACACCUCUUAUGCAGUAAACCUCAAAUUGCUCCUUUAUAUGUUUGAGCUUAUGUCAGGUCUGAAAAUAAACUAUCUAAAAAGUGAAAUCCUUUGUGGGGGGGGGGGGUGA